Molecule: long non-coding RNA, 4845 nt
Organism: Papio anubis (olive baboon)
Lineage: Eukaryota; Metazoa; Chordata; Mammalia; Primates; Cercopithecidae
Source: Ensembl
GGACUUUUGCUUUUUGCCCAGGCUGGAGUACAAUGGCACCAUCUCGGCUCAUUGCAAACUCCACCUUCCGGAUUCAAGUGAUUCUCCUGCCUCAGCCUCCCAAGUAGCUGGAUUACAGGCGCCCACCACCAUGCCCAGCUAAUUUAUUUUUAGUAGAGAUGGGGUUUCACCAUGUUGGCCAGGCUGGUCUCAAACUCCUGAUCUCAGGUGAUCUGCCUGCCUCGGCCUCCCAAAGUGCUGGAAUUACAGGUCUGGGCCACCAUGCCUGGCCUAAAAAACGUAUUUAAAGAAAUAAGACAUUGACAUGUUUCAUUAGGAAAAAGGCAUCACAGUUAUUGUUACUAUCUUGGAUCACCUGAUGACUCAGUGUGGGGUUCUUUUUAUAUUUUUAUUUUUCUAGGUACAUAGGUGUCUACAUUCAUGGUGUACAUGAGAUGUUUUGAUACAGGCAUGCAAUGCGUAAUAGUUACAUUAUGUCAAAUGGGCUACUCAUCCCCUCAAGCAUUGCAUUACAAACAAUCCAAAUACAGACUCCGUUGUUUGGUUUUUUGUUUUCGAGACGGAGUUUUGCUCUUAAUCAUCCAGGCUGGAGUGCAGUGGUGCAAUUUUUAGUAGAGACAGGGUUUCGCCACAUUGGCCAGGAUGGUCUAGAACUCCUGACCUCAGGUGAUCCGCCGGCCUCAGCCUCCCAAAGUGCUGGGAUUACAGAUCACUUGAGGUCAAGAGUUCAAGACCAGCCUGGCCAACAUGAUGAAACCCCAUCUCUACUAAAAAUACAAAAAUUAACCAAGUGCGGUGGCACAUGCCUGUAAUCCCAGCUACUCAGGAGGCUGAGGCAGGAGAAUUGCUUGAACUCGGGAGGCACAGGUUGCAGUGAGCCAAGAUCACACCACUGGACUUCAGCCUGAGGGACAAAAGCAAAACAUCAUCUAACAACAACAACAACAAAAAGGUGGUGUGACUGAAAUCCAAAGUGACUCAUUUAAGGUCACACCUCUAUUAAGUAACGAAGCAGAAGCCGGGCUCUAGCUCUCCAGUGGAGGAGCGGGGGAGAUUGGAGACGGUGAUUGGACCCAGAGAAGGGAAGUUUUUAAAUCAAUAAAGUACAUAAUCGGCACUUGUGUAGAGACGUUAUCUAUGCUUGGACUCAAAUCUGUAACACUUAAGGAAUAUUAAUAAACAUCAUUGAAAAGCUAUUUGGUAAUGAGAAUUAUGGAAGAAUAGGAUUGUACUCAAAGACCACUGUUUCAGUCAUCGAAUGCUACAUAACAAACCACUCCAAAACAUAGGGCCUAAAACAACAACAAUACUUAUUUUGCUCACAAAUCUGCCAUUUGGGCAGGGCUCAGCAGAGAAGCUCAUCUCUGCUCCCUUCAUCUUAGCUGGGACAGUUUGAAGCCUCAGAGCUGGAAUCACCUGAAGGCUCAUUCAACCUAGACAUCUGGAGAAUGGAACAACUGGGGUUCUGGGGUUCGUCCAGUAAGGCUCCCCAUCUCUGCCUGGCAUCUUCAUAAGGACUCUAUUGCACAGCAACUGCAGGCUAGCCAGACUUCUUCCACAUCAGCCCACAGCUCUCAAGGGAUAGGGCUCCAGAAAAAAGAGCCAAGUGGGAGCCACAUUGCCUUUUAUGACCUAGUCCUGGAAGCCAAGCAGCAUCACUUCUGCCAAAUUCUCUUGGUCAAAGCAGUUAAAAAGCUCUUUCCUGAUGUAAAAGGCAAGAACAGGGCCAGGCACAGUGGCUCAUGCCUGUAAUCCCAGCACUUUGGGAGGCUGAGGUGAGCGGAUCACUUGAGCCUGAGUUCAAGACCAGCCUGAGCAACAUGAUGAAACCCCAUCUCUACUAAAAAUACAAAAAAAUUAGCCAGGCAUGGUGGUGCACACCUGUAGUCCCAGCUACUCAUGGGGGCCGAGGCGGGAGGAUCACCUGAGCCCAGGGAGGUCAAGGCUGCAAUGAGCCGUGACCGCCCCACUGCACUCCAGCCUGGGUGACAGAGUGAGACUCUGUCUCUAAAUAAACAAAACAUGAGAACAUAGACCUCACCUCUUGAUGAAGGCGUGUCAGUGUCAUAUGGUAAGAAGGGUAUGUGGGGUGAGAUCCAUGUCAGAACAGCUGUGUUUGGGAAACACACUCUGCCAAACCAAAAACAACGGGAUGCCCAAACCAUUGAAACACAGCGUUGAAACAGACCUUAAAAUGACCACUUAUUUGCCACUCACAAAAUUCAUUUUGUAAGACCCAGUUCAAAUGUCCCUUCCUUCUGGGAAUCCCGUGCUGAUACGCCCCAGCUUACACACCCUUUGUAAAGAUGCCCACUCUCUCACUCAGCUUAUUCUAUUGUCAUUUUUAAAACAGGAUUGUAAUCAGGCAGGUACAAUCAUCCUAUACUAGCCAAUCAUUUUACUAGUCAAUCAAUAUGACAUCACAGGGCAGCUUCACAAAGAGCCCUCAGACUGAUGGAGAAGAGACACUUUUAGGGAAGCCAGAAGCAACGCUUUGCACAGAAAAUGCAGGACAGCAAAGAGAAAAGAAUCAGCAAUUCAGAGAAGAAAAACUGGAUCACACAAAGAUGGAAAAAAUAUAUAAAUAUACAGACAUGGGUUUUUUUGCUUUUCCCCUCCAGAAGCUGAGUUGAAAGCAUUGCCCCAAAGCAGUGAUUCUCAAACCUCACCUGCGUCAGGGUCACCGGGAGGGCCUGGGUCUAGUGAAAUACCCUCAGUGUUUCUGAUUCAGUGGGCCUGGGUGGGGCCUGAGAAUCUGCAUCGUCGCGGAGUCCCAGGCGAUGCUGCUGCUGGUCGUCAGAUCCCAGGCUUCAAAAACCACUAGCCACUUUGUGAGGCAGAGGUGGAAGGAUCACUUGGGUCCUUGAGUUCGAGACCAACCUGGCCAUCAUAGGGAGACACAACUCCUCUCCCCCACCCCGCCACAAUUUUUUAUUUAUUUUAUUUUAUUUUAUUUUUAUUUUUAUUUUUAUUUUAUUUUGAGACGGAGUCUCGCUCUGUGGCCCAGGCUGGAGUGCAAUGGCGCGAUCUCGGCUCACUGCAAGCUCCGCCUCCCGGGUUCAAGUGAUUCUCCUGCCUCACUCUCCCGAGCAGCUGGGAUUACUGGCUAAUUUUUUUUAUUUUUGGAUUUUUAGUAGAGACGGGGUUUCACCGAGUUAGCGCGGAUGGUCUUGAUCUCCUGACCUCGUGAUCCACCCGCCUCGGCCUCCCGAAGUGCUGGGAUUACAGGCAUGAGCCACCGCGCCCGGCCUCAUAGUUACAUUAAAAAAAAAAAAAAAAAAAAAUUAAAAAGUAACUGGGCGUGGUGGCGCUGGCCUGUGGUCCCAGCUACUCCAGAGGCUGAGGUGGAAGGAUCGCUUGAGCCCGGGAGGCAGAGGUUGCAGUGAGCUGUGAUGGUGCCACUGCACUCCAGCCUGGGCACCAGAGCAAGACCCUGUCUCAAGAAAGAUAAAAAGGAAUGUACUGGAGAUUCUGAAGGCACCGACCAUAGUGACCACAGCUGAAACCCCGCAAAGACGGAGGAACCCAAAGAGCCACGGGAGCUGUGGGUGGAGACGACCCAAGAGGCUGCUGCGGCCGGCUCUCAACAGCACACUCCUGGGUGGGACCCCCCGGGGCGGACACCGCCACUCCCCUUGGCCACGGUACGGGGCGCCCCCUCCCGACGCUCGUGAGUAGUGCAACCCGGACCGCAGACCCGAACCGCCGACUCAGGUGGGCGGGGUCCACCCGGACCAGCCUCCAGCCGCUUAGUGUCCACCGGUUGCUGGGACUGCGAGCAGCCGCGAAGACUGUCCCCACCCCUCGGGUGGGCGGGCCCAAGAAGACCGCCCCUCUCUUCCCCCCCGCGCCUUGACUGGUCAAUCUCGCCCGUGCGCGAUGACGUCCUGCCUAGGCGGAAAGUUUCCGAGAGUAGCGCGGGAGCUGAGAAGUUGGAGGCUCGGGUUCAUCUGCGGAAGGCCUUGAGCAGUUUGUUCCGCUGUCUUCCUGCUUCCAGGUUCCCCGACUGCGUCCCCACGAACUCCCCGUCCUUACCGCUUGCUGCUGUGGAGUGCCUCGCUGUCUCCCAGGUCCCCGAGUGAGCGUCGAGUGGGACCUCUGUGGCGAAGGAAGGCCUGUGUGGGUGGCACUGAGAGGUAGAAGGGGAGGGGAAUGUUGGCAGUUUCCCUGCGACCCCGGGGACUUUGCUCGUCCCCGCCAUCCACUUCCUUAGGCCUUUGGAGUCGCCGACUGGUCUAAUGUCGCCGGGCCUUGUGGCUCUGGGAAAUUAGCAUUGAUUAAUCCUCCUAACAAUUUUCAUUUUUAUAGAGACAGACUCUCCCUAUGUUGCCCAGGCUGGUCUUGAACUCCUGGGCUCAAGGUAUCUUCCAGCCUCGGCUUCCCAAAAUCUUGGGAUUACAGGCGUGAGCCCGGCCAGCUCCCAACAAUGUUAAGUGCCUGCUAGGAGUCAAGCACUGUGCUGAGUGCAGGGGCUCCCCAAGUCGUUGCGUCCCCAGUGCUUAGUGCCAGGCAUUGAGCAGAGGCGCGAUUCGUAUGUGAACUGAAACGAACCCCGUCCCUGAGGAACAGGACCUCUGCUGGGAAGUCAAAGAAAUGAAUAGUGAUUGUAUGAUGUGAUAGGUGGUCAGUUCCUGGUGGGCAGUAAUAAAGGGGAGGAUUGUUUGAGAAACGGAUACCUGACCUGAGCCUUGGAGGAAGAGGCAGAUACUGGAAAACUAGAGUCCCUGCGUUCUCUCACCACUUGCUAAUGGGCCUCUACAACCGCAGGAAACCGCAAUAAACCUUUCCCUUCUCCAGAUAGAUGUCUAUUCUUGCAAAGAAAUAGAAAAUGCAUUGCAGAGUAUU